This 254-nucleotide ribosomal RNA is filed under the name uncultured bacterium. RNAcentral's name for it is "partial 16S ribosomal RNA". It matches the Rfam family "Bacterial small subunit ribosomal RNA", at positions 524 to 776 of the family's 1533-position model. The record is from RNAcentral.
UACAGAGGUCUCAAGCGUUGUUCGGAUUCAUUGGGCGUAAAAGGGUGCGUAGGUGGCGCUGUAAGUCGGGUGUGAAAUUUCGGAGCUUAACUCCGAAACUGCAUUCGAUACUGCGGUGCUUGAGGACUGGAGAGGAGACUGGAAUUUAUGGUGUAGCAGUGAAAUGCGUAGAGAUCAUAAGGAAGACCAGUGGCGAAGGCGGGUCUCUGGACAGUUCCUGACACUGAGGCACGAAGGCCAGGGGAGCGAACAGG